GCCCUUGUAGCUCAGUGGACAGAGCGCUGGUCUUCGGAACCAGGCGGCGCGGGUUCGACUCCUGCCAAGGGUG
RNAcentral lists this transfer RNA (73 nucleotides) under Candidatus Latescibacterota bacterium. RNAcentral's name for it is "tRNA-Arg". It matches the Rfam family "tRNA". From Rfam's summary of the family: Transfer RNA (tRNA) molecules are approximately 80 nucleotides in length. Their secondary structure includes four short double-helical elements and three loops (D, anti-codon, and T loops). Further hydrogen bonds mediate the characteristic L-shaped molecular structure. tRNAs have two regions of fundamental functional importance: the anti-codon, which is responsible for specific mRNA codon recognition, and the 3' end, to which the tRNAs corresponding amino acid is attached (by aminoacyl-tRNA synthetases). tRNAs cope with the degeneracy of the genetic code in two manners: having more than one tRNA (with a specific anti-codon) for a particular amino acid; and 'wobble' base-pairing, i.e. permitting non-standard base-pairing at the 3rd anti-codon position. Lineage: Bacteria; Pseudomonadati; Candidatus Latescibacterota. The record is from RNAcentral.